GGGGAUUUAGCUCAGUGGUAGAGCGCUUGCCUAGGAAGCGCAAGGCCCUGGGUUCGAUCCCCAGUUCCG
Molecule: transfer RNA, 69 nt
Filed under: Rattus norvegicus (Norway rat)
Lineage: Eukaryota; Metazoa; Chordata; Mammalia; Rodentia; Muridae
Rfam family: tRNA
About the family: Transfer RNA (tRNA) molecules are approximately 80 nucleotides in length. Their secondary structure includes four short double-helical elements and three loops (D, anti-codon, and T loops). Further hydrogen bonds mediate the characteristic L-shaped molecular structure. tRNAs have two regions of fundamental functional importance: the anti-codon, which is responsible for specific mRNA codon recognition, and the 3' end, to which the tRNAs corresponding amino acid is attached (by aminoacyl-tRNA synthetases). tRNAs cope with the degeneracy of the genetic code in two manners: having more than one tRNA (with a specific anti-codon) for a particular amino acid; and 'wobble' base-pairing, i.e. permitting non-standard base-pairing at the 3rd anti-codon position.
Source: Rfam by way of RNAcentral